Molecule: long non-coding RNA, 753 nt
Filed under: Parus major (Great Tit)
Lineage: Eukaryota; Metazoa; Chordata; Aves; Passeriformes; Paridae
Description: lncRNA (ENSPMJG00000018930.1)
Source: RNAcentral
UCCUCUAGGUCAGAGAACUUAAAGAAGAAGAAGAAGGGACAGGUCGGUGAAUACCACUCUGGUGGUGAUGGUCGUGUUGCCCACACUCCUCAUCUCUGAUACCACUUUCUCCUACAGUCCGGCAUGACAAAGGAAAAGAAGAUCCAGGAGGCGCAGGAUGAGGACGUGCCUCUCUCCCUGGAUCUCCGUGAGGAGGUUCAAAGGAUAAAGACAGCACAGACCCACAUGGCACAGACAAUGAAGGAGUUGGCUGCCUCGAUAAAGAAGUUGGAGGAGGACAUUAAAAAGCUUAGGCAGGAUACAACCCAGUGGAGAGAAGAGACCAGUGAAGAGCUCUCUCAGCAAAUUGAGGCUGUGCUGCAGGAAACAAAGCGGGAGCUGCAGAAGAUGGAAGAGCAGGAGGAGAUGAGGAGUGCCAUGCUGGAACAGCUGCUGACAGCGAACCAGGUGGCUGGAACAGAGGAGACAGUGGGGAGCGUGGAGGAGGAGCAGAAGGCAAAGGGGGAGUGCUCCAGCUGCUCUGUCGACAUCAAUGAGCAGUUCAGGGAGCUCCUCCUGCGCUGUGAGAAACUCCAGGAGCAGGUGGACUCCCUGGAGUCUCGCCAGGUGGCCAUGGGCAAGCUUGAAAGGAUGAUGAGGAAUUCGGGCCAGGACCAGGAGAUGAUGCAGCCCAAGGAUGCCACAGUUAUGCAGGUUCAAAGGGACUAUGAGAAGCUCAGCUUCAUCUCAGAGAGUCUCCAGAAGGACUCUCAA